This 4678-nucleotide long non-coding RNA is filed under the name Homo sapiens (human). Its description in RNAcentral is "HSALNT0188182". The record is from RNAcentral. Lineage: Eukaryota; Metazoa; Chordata; Mammalia; Primates; Hominidae.
CAUUUUUAAAUACUUUUAGUUCACAUUUUUUAAUGUUUAAAAACUAUGUUAACAGAGCAGUUAUAGAACAGAACUUCUUAUAUUUCUUUAUUUACACCACACUCUGAAAAAAAAAACCCAGUUCUAUUUGAUUAACUAUGAAUAGCAAAGUUUUGUGACUUGUGACUCACUUAAAUCACCCAUCUGAAAUUCAUUUACAAGGUUUUUACAUUAAUAAAACAGUAGUGUGGUACAUGUAUUGGACUCAGAUGAAGUCUAAAGUACACUGGACUCUAGAGAGUGGAUUACAUACCAACGACCAAGAUUCAAGUGUUUGGGGAAAAAAAUACCUUAGACAGUCUAUGUUGGCGUCAACACUAAAAUAAAAGGCAAACAUGCAGGACUUUCAAAGCUUGAUUAGAUAAUGGUUCUUUGUUUUCUUUCCUUCAAAUUUGUGCUCAUAAUUAAUAUUCAGGUUCCCUCUCCCCGCUUUCAUAGAUCCCAAAGUUUGAGAAAUGCAGCAAUUCAAUUGUGAAAAAAACAUUCUUCUCCCCAGCUUCUGUUUUCAUAUGUACUGUGUAGUGAACUAUGUUACCUGGGAGAGAAUGUAAAUUUUUCUAAUUCCCAAACAAAACCACUAAUUUCUAGGAAACAUUUAUUGUUUAUAUGCAGAUCCUAGAGACUUCUAUUUCAGUGCAGAUCAACAACUUCAAAAAUAUACAGCCUCCUAUUUAUUUACAAUAAUAUUUACAUACAAAUGAAGUAUUUCCUGCAAUAAGCCUCAGCUGCAUAGAUUCUUCCUUUAAAAACGUAAAUUUGAGCCUGUAUACAGAUGGGCCCAGUUUCAUAGCCCUUCCUUAGAUAAAAGCCUAAAGAAGGAAAAUGUCUGCACCUUGUGAACUUUACAUAUUUUGCAAGAACUUUCUCUUUGAGAUUUAGUGAUAGUUUUUAGUUGUUAGACACCCCACCUUCAGCUUGUACCUGAAAGCUUUAUCUCGUUAUAAAUAAUUCACUGUAAUUUAGGGGAAGUAUGUCCUGUUGCUAAAGGAUUCUCAAACCUGCCAUCCCCAAGGAAAAUCAUGUAUUAGUAUUGCUAAAUGAUGGUCUGUAUAUUCUUUGUUUUGAAGGUGGCUAGAUGUUUGCUGUAAACUUGAAUGGGAGAAUUAUAUUCUUAAAGUUUACACCCCCUAUAAGCCUAAAGCCAUUUAAAUUGAUAAACUGAGAGAGACUAAUAGAUUUUGCUCUAAGGUAUAAAAUCCAUUAUCUGAUCAUAUUCCUGACCUCCCCCCGACUCCAACUAAAUGUGCCAUAGUCCAACACUGUGCCUCACUGAAUUGGAACUCAGUAUUUCAUUCUUUUGAGAGCAGUUUGUAGCUCCUUAAGCAGAGCAGACCUUUCAGUAGAGAAUUCGCUUUAAAAGGAGGACAGGAUUAUCACCACACGAUUAACACAAACACUGGAGAACUUCUGACACAAAUUCAGUAUUUCUUCUAAGUCUGCAUUUACAAAGGGUCUUUUAUUUUAAUUUCUUUCACAACUGCCUCGCCCCAACCAAAGCCUCACUUUCAUUUCCUCACAGCUUUAAAAAAUAAAAUAUUAUCAUGCCUCAGCCCGAGGUAACACCGAGUGCAGGCAGCCUGUGUUUAGGAAUUUGCACCUGCGCUGCUAUUUUCAACGAGAAGGGGAUAACCAGGUGGCAGCGCUGGAUUCACUCACUUUCUUGCCAUUGCAGAGACCCCUGCCGCCAGGCUCCUUUCCUCCCCUCCCUAAAGCCUGGCUCCUGUAUGUUGCACCAUGAGUCCUAGGAAUCAUCUGGUGAGGGAGGACUAAUGGGAAGUAAAAGGGAGACUCAUUGGCUUAGGGUGGUUCUCAAACUUGAUGCGCUUUAGAAUCAUUUGCUGAGUCCCUCCCUGAGAGCUUCUGACUUCACCAUGUCUGGGAGGGGGCUGAGAAUCUGCAUUCUAAUGAGGUCCCCGAUGAUGCUGAUGCUACUGGUCUAGGGGCCACACUUUGAGAACCACUGGCUUAGAGGCAUGAAUCAAGCUCUAGAAAGCAGUCAGUUCCAGGGUAAUAGUCUUAGGUGCUCGCCGAAGCACUGAGGAAUCUUACCACAACCCUGUGUCCACCACAAGCCCUAUCACCAUCACCCAUCUGGGUGCUUCUUUUUCUCAACAGGGUCUGUAACUGUAAAAAAGGAAAGUGGGUGGAGAGGUUUUUUUUUCCCCCUUUUUUCUUGUUUUCUAACCUCCCAGCUUAUUCCUGGAGAGUUAAAACACAGUUACUAGCACUAAAAACAUUAAAAGUGCUGCGCGCUGGCCUCAAUGACUGGUACAUUGGAGAAGCUAUGCAGCAGCAUCCUUUUCUGUGGUGGGCAGGGCAGGAGAUGAACCAUAGGAGCCAAAAGUCAGACAAACAGAAGAAGGCACACCAAGCCUGAACCCUCCGGACAACAGCAGAGUUACCAGCUGAGGGAUGUCCCUGGAGGUUUCUGACCCAUGAGAGGCCCCCUCACCCUCCUUCACCCUCCUCCUACCACCAAGCUCUCCAGCAGUCAUGGACUUAUUCCUCCCCGUUUUUACUGGACACCAUGUUUCAGGCCAAUCUGGUCACCUGUAGUCUGGUGGCAUCUCUACCCCUACUGUCCAGUAGGUGGGAUGUGGCUGGGAUGGACAGUCCAGAUUCUACUAACAGGCAACUCUGAACAAACACCCUCCCUGGAAACAAUAUUAUAUUUGAUGGUUAGAUUCUUUAGCAAACCUAUUACAUUAUUCGAUGUCAGCUAACCUAUUGGUUUGAUCAUCUUUUCCAGCUGCUCUAGGGGCCUAACCACCAUGGAUAACCUGGUCUCUAAAGGAAAAUACAUUCCAGGUUGCAAACAACCAACUGACAACCUUUUGGAAUAUGAUCUCCUUAUACACUGGGGCUGCCUGUGCCUAAACACAGUAGAUUUCCCUCCUGUGCGUAUUUCAUCAGCCCCACUUCCAAUAAGUAACAUUAAGUAAAUUAGGGAUUGACAGUAUUCUGUGUUACAAUAACUAGAGAACAGUUCUAAGUCCAAAGUGUGGAACUGGCACUGUUCACUAGUAUAGAGAUCCUACCUACCAAAGGAAAACGUGCUGCUCCCCAUGCCUAGGGUAUAGUAUUCUUUAAUCUACUAAUUUAGCAGAAAAACUUCCAUAGCACUUGACUGUGCUGUUUAAAUUCGACCUAACAUCUGUGAUACAUGUAUUUUUGGCUACCAAUUAACUAUUCUGAAUAAGAAUAAGAGCAGUAUACUUUACAGCUAAUCUCACACAAAGGAUGUAACUAAUCAGUGAUAUUUGACGAAUUAUGGUAGGGUCUAUUAUAUUCAGUCAACAACAAAUUUAGAGAAACAUACAAAGGUUUUUAAAAAUAUGGGUGGUGUCACACAGAUCAACAACACUGUGCCUCCUCUAAAUAAAUCUAUUUUAAAUAAAUAUUCCUUGUAUUGACACAUGAAACCCAGAGGCCCAAAAAUAUCACUACACAUCCCAGUUAAUGAUAAGGUUCUAAAUUGACUUUGUGAGGGUAAAAUGAAUUGCUAUAAAGUAACAAGGAAAAUAGAAAGUAGCAUAAUAUAGCUUGCAAACUAAAUUAUGUAUUUUUAAAGGUACAGUCAUCCCACUACCUGGCUAUUUCAUUACUUGGUGCUCUAGACAAGCUCCCAAGAACUGACUGGAUCUUGGCUUGUUCUGUUUCUGUCAUUGCUAAUAUAAUAUGGAAAACAUUGCUGAAAAGAACAGAGAUGGCCAUGGAUAUGGCUAGGUUAGGUAUUCAUAUCCAAAUAUCUGAACUCUAACCUAAUGUGGAUAUGAUUCUGUAGCAUUAUAUUAAAAGCUAUGAUGAUGCAAUGCAGGAAAUAACCUUUCAUUCUCCCCCCUAGAGGAUCACGACAGGUGCUUCAAUGCCUGCCUUAUCUAUGGGACAGUAGUGUGAUUCUCAGUGAGAGUGAAGGCCUUUGGGGAUUUGAGUCAGGAAGGGAACAUGGCUAAGUGCCUGGAAACUCUGCCAACAGUCUGCGGUUAGAUUCUACUUGUCUCUGGAUAAGAAAUCUGUGCUCAGUGAACUUAUGUGUUUGGAAAAUUUAACCAGAAUAUAGAGGAAGCAUAAGUCCUGUUUCAAGAGACCAGCUCACGGAGCAUGCACAUUUCUCACCAUAGGCAAGCUAUGGACAAUUCAAUCACAUGGGAUGGCCCCACUUAGGGGAAUGCAGUUCUGGGUUUCCUUGCUAUCCCUAUUCUUUUUCAGCUACAAACUCUCUUCUUUUUCAGUCUCUUCAGUUUCCUUGUGCUCCCUUUAGGAGAGGGACAAGGGUAAGAGUACCAGGCAACUCUGUCCUCCUGCAUGGACAGUUGAGACGGGCAGUAAUGGCACAGUCCUUGGUUGGGGAAGAGAAGAGGAGACAGCACAGACACUGAGACCCCCUUGUCUUCCUCAUCUGGGGGAAGGAAGGUACUCAGUGAUUCUGUCAGAAGCUCUUCACAAAGACUAUCUCUGAGGGUUUUUUUUUUUUUUUUUUCACAAGACUAGAUGGAGAAUUAAUGAAGAAGAAAUAGAAAUGAGGCUUAUUUAAGGUACAAAAUUCUUGUAUUUGUAAUAACCUAGAUUUAUAGAUAUAAAACAAGUCUUUUAAAGACUUCCCUAAAAUACUCAAUAUAAAACAGGAGUUACUUAUCCU